UACGUAGGCCCCGAGCGUUAUCCGGAUUUAUUGGGUUUAAAGGGAGCGUAGGUGGAUUGUUAAGUCAGUUGUGAAAGUUUGCGGCUCAACCGUAAAAUUGCAGUUGAAACUGGCAGUCUUGAGUACAGUAGAGGUGGGCGGAAUUCGUGGUGUAGCGGUGAAAUGCUUAGAUAUCACGAAGAACUCCGAUUGCGAAGGCAGCUCACUGGACUGCAACUGACACUGAGGCUCGAAAGUGUGGGUAUCAAACAGG
Molecule: ribosomal RNA, 253 nt
Filed under: uncultured bacterium
Lineage: Bacteria
Description: partial 16S ribosomal RNA
Rfam family: Bacterial small subunit ribosomal RNA
Source: RNAcentral